Molecule: unclassified non-coding RNA, 216 nt
Filed under: Hevea brasiliensis (rubber tree)
Lineage: Eukaryota; Viridiplantae; Streptophyta; Magnoliopsida; Malpighiales; Euphorbiaceae
Source: RNAcentral
GGAAUAAUGUUGAAGGAAGCAGCUCUUCCACCUCUCCAGUCCUUCAUUGACGGCCCAUCAACAGUCUUCUGAGUGGCAGUAAUGGAGUGGACAGUGGUCAUGAGACCCUCAACAAUUCCAAAUCUAUCGUGAAUGACCUUGGCCAAGGGGGCAAGGCAAUUGGUGGUGCAGCUUGCAUUGGAAACAAUGUCAAGUUCUGGCUUGUAUUCCUUCUCG